CACCUGCUCAACACUGAGCAUGCGCUAAAAUGCUUGUUGAUAUGUUGGUAGCCAGGUCAAUUUUAAUGUGCUUUUGAUUAAUCAUUUUAUAAUAAAUGAAGCCAGAUGAUCCUAGCUCAUGGAACACAAGCCAUCACCUCCAAGAAGACCUAAACCUGAAAGGGAGAGGGCAUUUUAUGAAACACCUGAACAUGUAAAAACCAGUGCCAAAAUAGUCAAUGAGGCUCGGUCCUCUCUGCGCACUGUAAAAACUAACCGUCCGUUUACUCCAAAACCUGAAGAAAGAACUUUAUUUGGAAGCGCAAGUAACAGAGAUCCUCAAAAUAGACCUCCAAGUGCAUUUAGUCUUGGCUCUCACCACUUUGAUGGUAGUGAAUCCAGACCAACAUCAGGAACGAGACCUGUUUCAGGAACAAGACCCGUUUCUGGCACUGCAAGACUUACACCACUCGGCCAUAAACCAAAGACACCCCCAGCUGGUGUUGUCAGUCCUCCAGUACCCAGGCCCCCAGUAGAUCCUAACAGACCAAUCCGCAGAACAGGUUCCAGAGGAAGACUGCUUCAUUCACUAAGCGUAGAGAGCAGUUCAGAAGAAAUAUCCCUGAAAACACGAUCAGGAUCUCUGCAAGAUGUGUCAUCAAGUGGCAAAGAAGAAGUAGCUCCAGAUGUGCUGACCAGGAGAGUCCACAGUGGACCAAAGGAGAGAGUAGGGCAGCUCUUAGAAGAGAGAGGAGUGGGGGAUGGGAGUGAGAGUGUUCACAGACCUCCUAGUGCUGUUACUACUACCUCUAUUAGCAGCCAGAUUGGAAGUGACAAUGAACUCCGUGUCAAAAGUGGUGGAUCUUCUAGAAGGCCUUCAAGUGGUGGUAAACCAGGGAGUGGUGGUAAACGUGAAGAAGAAACUCCAGCAGAAUCUCAAUUUUUCAACAAAAACAUUGCACCAAUCUUAGAGCAAAUGGCUGCUCUGAGAAAAGAAAAAGAUGCCACUGAGUUGAGCAACCUGUGUAGUAUGUUGUACUGUACACUGGAACAAGGCAACAUGUUGGGCAGGGCUUGCAAAAGACGGUCUGCUAUACUGAAAACCAUCUUUAAACUUCUUGAUUCUGAGUCUCCAGUGCUGAGAGUUAGGCUAGCCAAACUCAUAUUGGGGUUGAAAAUCACAGGCAACAAUCUGACAAGCGUUUGCAAACUGAUAUUUAAAAUCAGCAGGGAAGAAAGCAAUGACAUGCUUUUUAUUGAAGAGGAAAUGAUCGCUCCCCUUUUGGAUACCAUGUGCACUACAGAUCUGUCCACUUCACAGGAUGCACUAGUCUAUCUUCUUGGUGCUCUCAAGUUUCUCUCAGGAAAUACCACUGUAGGCCAGCAUCUCACCAGACACAGGGCUGUGGAGGCUUAUGGAAAGCUGUUAAAGGCCAUCAACACAGCUACUGCUGACAGUAAAGAAAAAAUGGGCAAUGUUCUAGUUCAGCUCACAGCAGGACUCAGAAACUUAGUUGAUAAUGAGGAAAACAGAGAGGACAUGGUCUCUAGCCAUGUUAUAGAAGAGAUGGAGAGAUCUACACAGCUGUAUAGUGCUGACAGUGAAGUGGUACACAAUAUUAUCAGAAUUUUUAGCAAAGUGACCCUGCAUUCAGACUGCUGCAACGCAUUGAACAGUAUUCCGUCCACAUACAAGUCUUUCCUAUAUUUGCUCAAUCAGUACAUCCAAAAACAGGAUCUUAUAGUACGCCUGACCUUUGUGAUAGGCAACCUGACGGCCAAGAGUGAUGAUGCUAGGCUACGCUUUUUUCAAGAAGAAAAUGCUUUCAAAACCAUCUUGAAUAUUUUCAAAACUUACUUAGAAUUGGACAUGAAGUCUUUCUCAAAACACAAGGAAGAAGUCAAGGAAAGUGGCACUGGCUCUAAACAUCCAGAUACUGUGGAAGACAUAAUGAUCAAAGUGGUCCGUGUAAUAGCCAAUCUGUCCAUAAAUGAAGAAGUAGGAAAACAACUGGCCACCAAUGAAAAAUGUGUAGAAUGGCUUCUACACAUUAUAGAUACAAAGGACAUGUCAACAAGUGAAGAGCUAGUACUUAAUUCGGUAGCAACAAUCAACAAUCUUUCAUUUUAUCAUGUGCCAGGCAGUGCUGUGGUUAAGAAACAGCAGCAGGUCACAGAAAGUUUUUUGAAACUGCUCAAUGUACAGCAUAUGGAGGGUUUUGUAGAAGCUUCCAGAGUGUAUGGGAACCUCACAAGACACAAGGCUGUCCGGGACUUCCUAGCUGCUAAUAAGGUGCCAGAAAUGAUGGUGGCAUUGCUGGAUUCUGGUAGCCGAGAGGUAGUCUACACUGCAUGUGGUGUCCUUAUCAACCUCAUGGCUGAUGAAAACAAGAGACACAUUCUCAAGGAAGAAGGAGGGAUUUCAAAGCUGAUAGAUGUGUUGCGUGACUUUGGUCGCAGUGACUGGCAGCUGGGCAGUAUGGUGUGUCAGAUCCUGUGGAACUACAGUGCCAGGAUCACCAGCUCUACAGACUGCUAUGGAGAGAAAGAAGCACAGGAGCUGGCAGAUCUCCUAAUUGACUACCUGGAUGAGGAGACUGCCCUGGAUUCCAGUGAUACAGCAGGAGUAGAGGAGGCUAUGCUGGCAUUCCUGAGAGAUGUAUGGGAGGAGGAGUUCUGUCCGGUUGCAAACAAGCUGCUAAAUCGAAUAGAGUCCCACCAGUCAGAUUUUGAACCUCUUCCUGUCCCAAGCUGAUAGAACAUUCCUGUUUUAUUUCCUUUACUAGUAUGUUCCCUCACUGGAAUAUGUGAAGCAUAUUUCUGCAUUAGUAUAGUAUAUUCUUGUAUCAGGAUUCCUUUACUUGAGGGGUAUAUCUUUUACAAAAAUGUCACUGACACUGUAAUUUUACUGUCAUAACUCAAAAUAUGUAAACUCCUUUUUCAUUAAAGGAAUAUAUAUCCUACACAAGGAUGAAAUGUUUCUUAUGGGAAAAGUGAUUUUUUUUUCUGACUGACUUAAGUUUCACCUAACCAUUACAUAUAAUAGCUGGAAUAAUGUUCAUCAGGCUGUUAAAUUUGAGUCAAAGUAAGUUUUUAGUGGUCUAAAUAUUGUCAUUUGCUGAAAAUAAAGGUUUUGUGGUCAUAGUUUGAACUGCUCAUCACAUUGUUGCACUACUGUAAAACAGUAGCAUUUUCAUAGGACAUGCUUGCUUAUUUUUUGUGGUAUCAAAAUAAAUUUUCAUUAGAAUAAUAUUAGAUUGGCACAAAUUAUUCAUAUAUUAAAAAAAAAAUCUGGUACCAAGUUUAAUCAUAGAUAUUUUAGCGGAACUGAUAUGCUAGUCCAAGCUAAGCCUUUUCAUUUGAUAUCUGAAUCUCACUUGUAGUGUUAGUUUGCUCCAUUAAUUCAAGAGUACCACACUUUGUUGCUCACAAUAUAUUGUGUUAAGUAAAUGUUAAUGUGCAAAUGCAGAAUAUUUCACUGAGAUAUGGUUGCUGUUAGCUUUUGAUAGACUGUUCAAAGGCUAUGAAAUGUUUUGAUUAGUACACAUUGUUAUUUAUAAAGUCAUCUUUCCUGUGUUUGUGUAGCAUGAAGCUGAGCCUUUAGAUUUCUAAAGUGCAGGAUUAUUAAAUUUGAAGGCAGUUAGAAGCAGUAUUAUAUACUUGUAUAUAAGUCUAUGCAUUAGUACAAGUACUAGUAACUUCACUAAUGCAUAUUUGGAGAUGUACUGGAUAUGCAAACUUUCCGAGUUCAAUCAAUCAGUAUUUUAAUAUAUGUUGCGAAUAGAUUUAAAUUAUCCUACUAAUUUUGCUGAAGUUAAAAUGAAAUAGUGAUAGGUGAUUUUAUGUAAUUAUGAGGGAAAAAGCAACCUUCCAAUCAGUGAUGACUACAAUAAUAUUAAAGUUUUGAACUCUGAUGUUCAGGACACCAUCUCUUCCAAGUCAACUUCAGGUCAGAUUGUUAAUUAUGUAUAUGGUGUCUGACAUUAAGCUCAACUUUUUGUUUAUUGUCAUCUCUUCAUAUCAUGUUGCUCUUGUGUAUUAAAGAUUGUAGUGUGAAGUGUAAAGGUGUUGCACAGACUUAAGCAAAAAGAAAAAAAGCAGCACGAUCGUGACUGUUUACAGAUUUUAUAGUACAUGUAACAAUGUUAAACAUGUUACACACGGAUUGAAGUUUGUACAAGGGUGUUCCUAAGUUAUAAAUGAAGUCUAAGAAAAUAUUGAAGAAAUAUUUUAAGAAAGCCAAGCUAGUACGAUACCAUAGAAGGUAAAUCCUGCUUACAGUGCUUUGAGUGCAUGUCAA
This 4279-nucleotide unclassified non-coding RNA is filed under the name Lingula anatina. RNAcentral describes it as "armadillo repeat-containing protein 2, transcript variant X1". The record is from RNAcentral. Lineage: Eukaryota; Metazoa; Brachiopoda; Lingulata; Lingulida; Lingulidae.